CAAACUGCGAUAAACCCAUUCGUAGAAAAUCUUAUCUUGUUGGCGCUGGUUAACCACCUCCAAAAAGUUCGUCCAUUACACAUUAGUGAGCUCUUAUCUCAACGUGCCUAGAUCUUGAUUUUGACGUGACACUGGUGGCGUGUAGAUAUUUUCUCAGCCUGGUAAAGAACAGGCUGUGGGAGUAUGUGCGUCGUGUGUGUUUUGAAAGUUAGAAAAAGGGUCAGAGGACCGUCUUCUGCACGGCUCCAGCGCACCUUCCAACACAACAGGGACAGCAUAGGAAAAGAAAGGACCUUCUGGAAAUCGGCGAAAGGUCCAGGACGAAUACUGUUUAUUGAGUUUAUUCGCGGGAUGAGAGGAAGAGAGAGAAGAAAAACUUGGGCAUGGGAGUAGAAGCGGAGACAUAUAUGAGCAAACCAUAGAUACAAUAAAUUUUUAUGCACUUAUAA
Ornithodoros turicata is the source of this 449-nucleotide long non-coding RNA. RefSeq lists it as uncharacterized. The transcript has 2 exons. Lineage: Eukaryota; Metazoa; Arthropoda; Arachnida; Ixodida; Argasidae. The record is from RefSeq and is a predicted model, not a curated record.